UGGGGUAUAGCCAAGCGGUAAGGCAAGGGACUUUGACUCCCUGACGCGCUGGUUCGAAUCCAGCUACCCCAG
This 72-nucleotide transfer RNA is filed under the name Streptococcus ratti. RNAcentral describes it as "tRNA-Gln". It matches the Rfam family "tRNA". From Rfam's summary of the family: Transfer RNA (tRNA) molecules are approximately 80 nucleotides in length. Their secondary structure includes four short double-helical elements and three loops (D, anti-codon, and T loops). RNAcentral also lists the same sequence under 4 other names. The record is from RNAcentral. Lineage: Bacteria; Bacillati; Bacillota; Bacilli; Lactobacillales; Streptococcaceae.